UAACAUUUCAAAAGAAAAUAAAACUAUUUAAAACAAUAAGAGUGCUUGAAAAACGUUUGGAAAAGUUAUAUAAAAAUGAUAUUAUUGAAAUUAAGUGAGCACGCUUAAUGUAAAUAGAAAAAGCAUAGGUUGUAAAUUCCGUAGUUGAAAAUAAAUGAUUUAAUUUUUGUUAUUAUUAUAAUUAAUUUAUUAGCACGACGAGUCAGAUAAACACACAUACACGCGCGCGAGCGUGCAUUUUAAAUGACGUCUGUUGAAACCAGAUAGGCAUCCUACACCUAAAUUAAAGCGAGGUCAUUUUUAUGUUUGAUGUACUUAGCUUUUAUGCCUAAGGUAGAUCAAUUGUUAAGAAAACUUUUCGCUCUAAAAGGUAAUUAAAACAGGCAAAGUUAUUAUUUAUUCCGAAAAACCUAUUUGCACAAAUAUCUUAUAAUACCGAAAUUAGACCAACGAGUUUAUAACAAGCAUUCUACUACAACUAUACAGGUUUCGAACAUCUAAAUUUAACACAAUCAAUAACAUCCAGCCCAUAAGGUCACACUCGGCGCGAAUGCCGAGAAACGGAGUAAGUAUACGAAUUUGAUUAAGAAAAAAAAAUUGAGUAAUAUUAUAACGGCUGUUACUGUGCCCAAAAUGAAUCGUAACACCUAUAGGAUUAUCCAUCUACUACCCUCGUCUUUGUCAUCCGUUUAAAUUGAAAAUAUAGUCCGACCGAAUGAAUGCAAAUGGGUACCACAGAAUUUACUAAUUCAUAAAGUUAAUCGCUCGACUAUACGACGACAACCAUUAUAUAAUAAGACCGGUACUGGUGAAUUUUACAGAUGUCGGUCAACAAAGGGGGGAGAGGUCACUACAGUACCGUAUCUGACUUAACUCUAUAGGGCAGGAAGGUUAACAAAAGGCCCACUUGAGGAAAGUAUGGGACUAUAGAGUUCAAUUACUAUGAAUGAUUUAUACAUUUAUUUGUUUCAAUAUCGACAACAUCCCAAUAUUUAAGUUCAAAUUAAUUUGUUUUAAUUAUUAAUUUAAUAUCUCUGAACCCCCUCCCCCAAACUCCCCCUUAACCAAAAAAAGAAUCCUGUGCGUGCCCUGGGAG
Non-coding RNA from Cinara cedri, 1096 nucleotides. NCBI's taxonomy places the organism in Eukaryota, Metazoa, Arthropoda, Insecta, Hemiptera, Aphididae. The record is from the annotation of a GenBank genome assembly.